Molecule: long non-coding RNA, 242 nt
Filed under: Elaeis guineensis (African oil palm)
Lineage: Eukaryota; Viridiplantae; Streptophyta; Magnoliopsida; Arecales; Arecaceae
Description: long non-coding RNA (EGUI_LNC001581)
Source: RNAcentral
GGUUUGACCUUAAUUGGGAGAUAAUAAUUCAAGCCUAACAAGAUUAUUGACCGUAUCAGAUUUCAUGUGAUGAUUUUUUUAUUGGAUCUUGAAAACCCUCCAUCCUUUGUAUGAGUAAGGCUUGAGGACUCUUAUAUUAAAUGCAUGACCUAUAUUUUAGGAUGCUAAUUAAGCUAAGGUACUAUUUGGUAUAUCAUCGGUGAUGUAAUUACUGGAGUGAUUUGAUCGUUGGAAUGAUGUGC